RNAcentral lists this ribosomal RNA (546 nucleotides) under uncultured bacterium. RNAcentral describes it as "bacterial LSU rRNA". It matches the Rfam family "Bacterial large subunit ribosomal RNA", at positions 940 to 1491 of the family's 2925-position model. The record is from RNAcentral.
CGGGCCGCGUCGACCUCCGAAUGGCGUAUAGAUAUACAUGGGAGUCAGACUGCGGGAUAUAAAUUCCGUAGUCAAAAGGGAAACAGCCCAGAUCUACAGCUAAGGUCCCAAAGUACAUGUUAAGUGGUAAAGGAUGUGGGAUUUCAUAGACAACUAGGAUGUUGGCUUAGAAGCAGCCACACAUUCAAAGAGUGCGUAAUAGCUCACUAGUCGAGAGGUCCUGCGCCGAAAAUUAACGGGGCUAAAACAUGACACCGAAGCUUAGGGAUGGUGAAUACCAUCGGUAGAGGAGCAUUGAAAACACGUAGAAGCGGUACCGGAAGGAGCCGUGGAGAGUUUUGAAGAGAGAAUGCCGGAAUGAGUAGCGAGAUGGAGGUGAGAAUCCUCCAGGCCGAAUAUCUAAGGUUCCAGGGUAAGCUGAUCGUGCCCGUGGGUAAGUCGGGGCCUAAGGCGAGGCUGAGAAGCGUAGUCGAUGGACAACGUGGUGUAGGAUUCCAGGUACCUUACUAAAUCAGGAAAUGUGGGAACACGAUGGAAGAAGAAGGG